CUGUGCAUGAGUGCGACGAGAAGAAGUUUGUGGACGAGGAGGAGGGAGAGCUGUUGCUUCUCACUUGCAGCACUCUCUCAGAGGACAGGUAACUGGAUUUUGUUUCCGUUCCAAUGGUCUGUUGUAGCAGAAGGAAGCUGUGGCUGCCUGAGCCUGAGCCUCAACAUCUGGAAGAGUUGGGAGAUACCCUGGGUGCCUGUGAGGAUAAAGGGAUCUGAUACACAUCUUAGGGCAAUGUGUCUGCAUUCUGCAAUCCCUCUAAGAACAGAUGCUGGCUUUGUAGAAUGUCUCUGUAGGAGGUGUGAAAGGAAUUGGGAGUCUCAUCUGCCUGGACACAGAAACUCUGCUGUCUUUCACAUGGCAGGGGAGUGAUGAUGCAGCAGAGGAGCAGGUGAGUGAGGCAUGGGGCAGCCUCCUGAAAAGGCUGCUUGCAGCCUCAGAUGUUUGCAAUGCUUGAGAAUCC
This is a long non-coding RNA of Pogoniulus pusillus (Red-fronted tinkerbird), 463 nucleotides long. RefSeq lists it as uncharacterized. Lineage: Eukaryota; Metazoa; Chordata; Aves; Piciformes; Lybiidae. The record is from RefSeq and is a predicted model, not a curated record. The transcript is spliced from 3 exons.